GUAGGGAAUAUUGGGCAAUGGAAGGAAUUCUGACCCAGCCAUGCCGCGUGCAGGAAUACAGUCCUAUGGACUUUAAACUGCUUUUAUUAUAGAGUAACCUGGGGGACGUGUCCCCCACUGCAAGUAUAUAAUGAAUAAGCAUCGGCUAACUCCGUGCCAGCAGCCGCGGUAAUACGGGGGAUGCAAGCGUUAUCCGGAUUUAUUGGGUUUAAAGGGUGCGCAGGCUGAUCGGUAAGUCAUGGGUGAAAAGUCACUGUUUAACAGUGAUCGUGCCUAUGAUACUGCCGGACUAGAGUUUAAGAGGUGUAACUGGAAUGUGAUGUGUAGCGGUGAAAUGCUUAGAUAUGUCACAGAACGCCAAUCGUGAAGACAGGUUACAAACUUAAUACUGACGCUCAUGCACGAAAGCGUGGGGAUCAAACAGGAUUAGAAACCCCUGUAGUCC
This 445-nucleotide ribosomal RNA is filed under the name uncultured bacterium. RNAcentral describes it as "partial 16S ribosomal RNA". It matches the Rfam family "Bacterial small subunit ribosomal RNA", at positions 354 to 796 of the family's 1533-position model. The record is from RNAcentral.